Molecule: ribosomal RNA, 253 nt
Filed under: uncultured bacterium
Lineage: Bacteria
Description: partial 16S ribosomal RNA
Rfam family: Bacterial small subunit ribosomal RNA
Source: RNAcentral
CACGUAGGGCGCAAGCGUUGUCCGGAAUUAUUGGGCGUAAAGAGCUCGUAGGCGGUCUGUUACGUCUGCUGUGAAAGCCCAGGGCUUAACCCUGGGCUUGCAGUGGAUACGGGCAGACUAGAGGCAGGUAGGGGAGAAUGGAAUUCCCGGUGUAGCGGUGAAAUGCGCAGAUAUCGGGAGGAACACCGGUGGCGAAGGCGGUUCUCUGGGCCUGACCUGACGCUGAGGAGCGAAAGCGUGGGGAGCGAACAGG